UACGAGGGGGGCAAGCGUUGUUCGGAAUUAUUGGGCGUAAAGGGCGCGUAGGCGGUUUGACAAGUCUGAUGUGAAAUCUCUGGGCUCAACCCAGAGUCUGCAUUAGAAACUGUCGGGCUUGAGUAUGGGAGAGGUGAGUGGAAUUUCCGGUGUAGCGGUGAAAUGCGUAGAUAUCGGAAGGAACGCCUGUGGCGAAAGCGGCUCACUGGACCAUAACUGACGCUGAGGCGCGAAAGCUAGGGGAGCAAACAGG
RNAcentral lists this ribosomal RNA (253 nucleotides) under uncultured bacterium. RNAcentral's name for it is "partial 16S ribosomal RNA". It matches the Rfam family "Bacterial small subunit ribosomal RNA", at positions 524 to 776 of the family's 1533-position model. The record is from RNAcentral.